Molecule: unclassified non-coding RNA, 256 nt
Filed under: uncultured fungus
Lineage: Eukaryota; Fungi
Description: partial contains 18S rRNA, ITS1, 5.8S rRNA, ITS2 and 28S rRNA
Source: RNAcentral
AAGGAUCAUUAACACGUUUCGUUCCGAACGUUUUCUGACCUCUUUUCUUUUUAUCCGUGCACAAUUUAAAACCCGGUACCUUGAUGUUUCUGUUUGUCUCUCUGGUUGAGUCUCUCGACUGUGAGACGAACGAGCAUCCUUGUGCCACUUUUUCACCCAACCUUGAAUCUAAUUGUUCUGAACUUUUAGUUGAUGGGAAACUGUCAACGAAUAAAAAACUAAACAACAACUCUUAACAACGGAUAUCUUGGUUCUC